Molecule: long non-coding RNA, 2534 nt
Organism: Sycon ciliatum
Lineage: Eukaryota; Metazoa; Porifera; Calcarea; Leucosolenida; Sycettidae
Exons: 3
Source: RefSeq, a predicted model, not a curated record
CGAGGUGAUUGCAUGGUGUCAGCCGCGCUCUGACCGUGCUACCCAGCCUUUUCGGCUUCUACUAAGCUAAGCCAGGCAUGGUACCAUGUACCAGCCAGUCGCACCACUGCUAUUGAAAAGUACAACACGGCGCACAGGUAUGAAAUCACUUCUCUUUCUCCGAAUGUGGUGCAAGGUUGAUCAGCGAUUGUUAGAGUCUCCAUUUGUUUUACGAAACUUCUAAUAAUAACACAGGCCGGUGAACUAGCUGCAGGGGAAGAGCGUCUGCGUGAGGUCUUCCAACAAGUUCAACAACUGAAGGCUAUGCAAAGACUGCAUUGAUUUUUGCUGUCAACAAUUCGAUCAAGUUAAAAGUUGCCUCGUCCGCAAUCAAUCACUCGGACGUCAUGGUUGGAUGCGAUCGAAGAAGCCGUUCCAUUCUAGCCGUUUUCCUCCUAAUCCUCUUUGCGGCAUGCCUGAUAGGCGGAGCGGUCCUGAUUGAUUGGGGAGUCAACGCUGGACCAGAUUUUAGCGGUGGGAUCAUAAUUGGGUUGGGAGUUCUCUGCUUGUUCAUUUGUAUACCUUUUGGCCUCGCAGGCUGUGUGCUUGGGUGUCAGGUCCGACUUGAGAGUCAAAAUUUCAACAGAGCUCUGAGGCAAUGUUCCCAUGAAAGCGCAAGCAUAGCCCAGCCAGUUAGAAAAGGAACUGCUGCAGCUGCUGUUCCCGGCGCCGCCGUCAUCCCGAACGCAAUCAUCCUACCCACUUACAAUCCAGUUGGACCGGUAAUGGCAAUGCCAGUCACACAUCCUGCUUAACAAUUACAUUAUAUUGUGGCAUACGACUACUGGUCCCGAACACAACCAGCAACAGCAACAUGAGCAGCGACAGGCGUAGCAGCAGCAGCAACAGGAGCAGCAGCAGGAGCAGCAACAACAGCCUCAGGAUGAGCAAACCACCGCAUCCGUCCCCUCUGCGCCGCCGUUACUGGAAUCUGCCAGGAGCGAUGCUCCUCCGAGCUUUUCACAAGUAUUUGCUACUGAAGACUUAGUGACUAACACAAAAGAACUGUUCACACCUUGUUUGUACUACGGAACAGGUACAUGUUAUAAUAAUACUAAUAAUAAUAACUUUAAACUCGGAUACUGAGCAAGUAAUAAAAUGUAAAAAAGAGAAGAAACACUGUUUAUCAUCUGACUGUUUAUCAUCUCGUUACAGUCGUGGAUAGUUGCUGCAUAACUCGUUCUCAUGUGUUUCUUCUCUUUUUUAAAUAAUAACUUUAUUAGGAAGACCCAAAGGCUGACCGCCUAUCGUGGGGUCCGACGCAUUCAAGGAUGUAUAAUGACACAUUGUGUUGCCCGAACCAUGAUUAACGUGAAACUCGGAGGUACACCACCAUGCACUGUACAAUGUACAUGCAAGUCUAGGCUCUUCUCUCACUUCUGUCUGCUUUAUAAUAGUCUUAUCAUUCUACAGCAGAUAUCUCUUUAUUUGAUUACAAUAGAAUCGUCUUAGCUUGUUGGCAAUCCGUUACAUUUGAAAUCUACACGUGUACCAUAUACAUUGUAGGAUUGGGGUUCGAAGCUUCCCAGAUGUUUCCUAAAAUGCAUAUGACACCUCGCUUUCAAGAAACACUGGGAAGUUCACUUAUCUUGGACUUCUCCGGGGCCAAUUGUUUCGUAUACGUGCGUCAAGCCAAAUAUUUUUUUAUUAUUAAGUUGCGUUUCCCAACCCUUUUCGCAAUGUGUAGAAAAACAGUGCUUAAGCAGUUCCCCAUACCCAUUCCAUGCAAGUGAGGCGGAGAACUCAGUGAUGACGAGUUGUGGCACACAAUAUUUAACAAUUACAUUUCCAAGCCAGCGACCGUCCCAGUCGCAAAGCCCAGGCAACUAUUUCCCAUACAUACGAAGAUGGCACCGAUCAGGUCAGAAAUCAUCGCCACGAGCAACAGCAAGAGGCGCAGCAGCAGCAGGAGCGGCAACACCAGUCUCAGGAGCAGCGGGAUGUGCAAGCCACCUCUUUGGCCCCCUCCGCGCCGCCGUUAGAGUCGGCCAACAACGAUGGUCCUCCGCGCUAUUCCCAUUUAUUUGUGGCUAGUCCACGUCUUAGUAAUUGAAAGAAAGGCUAAUCACAGUGGUAUAAUUGUUGUAGCAUUGUACAGUAUAACACAUUAAAUUGUGUCUAUGCCACCACUCCGACAAGGCGCCCAACCGCAAAACCACCAGCAAGAGCAGUGGAAUCAGUCAUGCUACCAGCAACAGCAGUGGAACCAGUCACGGUACCAGCAACAGCAGUGGCAGCAGCUACUGUAGUCUGCAGUGGCAGCAGCAGAGGCCGCAGCAGCAGCAAUAGUGGCAGUAAUAGCUGUCUCUGCCGCAUCAGCACCAACCUCAACAUUAGGAGCAAUAGCAGCAGCACCAGCAGCAACAGCAACAUACAAACACUUAAUUGACAGUAGCCGGAGUAAGCAGCUGCCCUAUUCCGCUUUGCAUCACUGGAUCAUCCCAGCAGCUAUUUUUCAAUAUUGACAAAAGAAUCAUGAUACCUACGUAACUUGA